RNAcentral lists this ribosomal RNA (1522 nucleotides) under Salmonella enterica subsp. enterica serovar Uganda. Its description in RNAcentral is "bacterial SSU rRNA". It matches the Rfam family "Bacterial small subunit ribosomal RNA". Lineage: Bacteria; Pseudomonadati; Pseudomonadota; Gammaproteobacteria; Enterobacterales; Enterobacteriaceae. The record is from RNAcentral.
AGAGUUUGAUCAUGGCUCAGAUUGAACGCUGGCGGCAGGCCUAACACAUGCAAGUCGAACGGUAACAGGAAGCAGCUUGCUGCUUUGCUGACGAGUGGCGGACGGGUGAGUAAUGUCUGGGAAACUGCCUGAUGGAGGGGGAUAACUACUGGAAACGGUGGCUAAUACCGCAUAACGUCGCAAGACCAAAGAGGGGGACCUUCGGGCCUCUUGCCAUCAGAUGUGCCCAGAUGGGAUUAGCUAGUUGGUGAGGUAACGGCUCACCAAGGCGACGAUCCCUAGCUGGUCUGAGAGGAUGACCAGCCACACUGGAACUGAGACACGGUCCAGACUCCUACGGGAGGCAGCAGUGGGGAAUAUUGCACAAUGGGCGCAAGCCUGAUGCAGCCAUGCCGCGUGUAUGAAGAAGGCCUUCGGGUUGUAAAGUACUUUCAGCGGGGAGGAAGGUGUUGCGGUUAAUAACCUCAGCAAUUGACGUUACCCGCAGAAGAAGCACCGGCUAACUCCGUGCCAGCAGCCGCGGUAAUACGGAGGGUGCAAGCGUUAAUCGGAAUUACUGGGCGUAAAGCGCACGCAGGCGGUCUGUCAAGUCGGAUGUGAAAUCCCCGGGCUCAACCUGGGAACUGCAUUCGAAACUGGCAGGCUUGAGUCUUGUAGAGGGGGGUAGAAUUCCAGGUGUAGCGGUGAAAUGCGUAGAGAUCUGGAGGAAUACCGGUGGCGAAGGCGGCCCCCUGGACAAAGACUGACGCUCAGGUGCGAAAGCGUGGGGAGCAAACAGGAUUAGAUACCCUGGUAGUCCACGCCGUAAACGAUGUCUACUUGGAGGUUGUGCCCUUGAGGCGUGGCUUCCGGAGCUAACGCGUUAAGUAGACCGCCUGGGGAGUACGGCCGCAAGGUUAAAACUCAAAUGAAUUGACGGGGGCCCGCACAAGCGGUGGAGCAUGUGGUUUAAUUCGAUGCAACGCGAAGAACCUUACCUGGUCUUGACAUCCACGGAAGUUUUCAGAGAUGAGAAUGUGCCUUCGGGAACCGUGAGACAGGUGCUGCAUGGCUGUCGUCAGCUCGUGUUGUGAAAUGUUGGGUUAAGUCCCGCAACGAGCGCAACCCUUAUCCUUUGUUGCCAGCGGUCCGGCCGGGAACUCAAAGGAGACUGCCAGUGAUAAACUGGAGGAAGGUGGGGAUGACGUCAAGUCAUCAUGGCCCUUACGACCAGGGCUACACACGUGCUACAAUGGCGCAUACAAAGAGAAGCGACCUCGCGAGAGCAAGCGGACCUCAUAAAGUGCGUCGUAGUCCGGAUUGGAGUCUGCAACUCGACUCCAUGAAGUCGGAAUCGCUAGUAAUCGUGGAUCAGAAUGCCACGGUGAAUACGUUCCCGGGCCUUGUACACACCGCCCGUCACACCAUGGGAGUGGGUUGCAAAAGAAGUAGGUAGCUUAACCUUCGGGAGGGCGCUUACCACUUUGUGAUUCAUGACUGGGGUGAAGUCGUAACAAGGUAACCGUAGGGGAACCUGCGGUUG